GUGAGUCAUCGAAUCUUUGAACGCACCUUGCGCUCUCUGGUAUUCCGGAGAGCAUGUCUGUUUGAGUGUCAUGAACUCUUCAACCUACCGAUUUCUAGUAAAUCGGAUUAGUGUUUGGAUUUUGAACGCUUGCUGGCCUUUAUUGGCGAAGCUCGUUCGUAAAUGAUUAGCAUCUCAUAUUCGAAAAUCGGAUUGACUCAGUGUAAUAGACUAUUCGCUGAGGACGCUCUUUCGGGAGUGGCCGAGUUUUGUAAAGUAGAAGCUUCUAAUUCUAUUAGUCAACUUUAGAUUAGACCUCAGAUCAGGCAGGAUUACCCGCUGAACUUAA
RNAcentral lists this ribosomal RNA (328 nucleotides) under uncultured fungus. Its description in RNAcentral is "eukaryotic LSU rRNA". The stretch from base 1 to 71 matches the Rfam family "5.8S ribosomal RNA", at positions 84 to 154 of the family's 154-position model. Lineage: Eukaryota; Fungi. The record is from RNAcentral.